Molecule: ribosomal RNA, 373 nt
Filed under: uncultured bacterium
Lineage: Bacteria
Description: bacterial SSU rRNA
Rfam family: Bacterial small subunit ribosomal RNA
Source: RNAcentral
AUACGGAAGGUCCCGGCGUUAUCCGGAUUUAUUGGGUUUAAAGGGAGCGUAGGCCGUGGGUUAAGUGUGUUGUGAAAUUCAGUUGCUCAACAUCUGAUUUGCAGCGCAUACUGGUCCACUUGAGUGCGCGCAACGCAGGCGGAAUUCGUCGUGUAGCGGUGAAAUGCUUAGAUAUGACGAGGAACCCCGAUUGCGAAGGCAGCUUGCGGGAGCGCAACUGACGCUGAAGCUCGAAGGUGCGGGUAUCAAACAGGAUUAGAUACCCUGGUAGUCCGCACGGUAAACGAUGGAUGCCCGCUGUCCGGCCAAUAGGUCGGGCGGCCACGCGAAAGCCUUGAGCAUCCCACCUGGGGAGUACGCCGGCAACGGUGAA